AAUAUUGGACAAUGGGGGAAACCCUGAUCUAGCCAUCCCGCGUGUAUGAUGAAGGCCGUAGGGGCGUAAAGUACUUUUGGCAGAGAAGAAAAGGUAUCUCCUAAUACGAGAUACUGCUGACGGUAUCUGCAGAAAAAGCACCGGCUAACUACGUGCCAGCAGCCGCGGUAAUACGUAGGUUGCAAGCGUAAAUCGGAAUUACGGGGCGUAAGGCGUGUGUAGGCGGUUCGGAAAGAAAGAUGUAAAAUCCCAGGGCUCAACCUUGGAACUGCAUUUUUAACUGCCGAGCUAGAGUAUGUCAGAGGGGGGUAGAAUUCCACGUGUAGCAGUGAAAUGCGUAGAUAUGUGGAGGAAUACCGAUGGCGAAGGCAGCCCCCUGGGAUAAUACUGACGCUCAGACACGAAAGCGUGGGGAGCAAAC
Molecule: ribosomal RNA, 421 nt
Filed under: uncultured bacterium
Lineage: Bacteria
Description: partial 16S ribosomal RNA
Rfam family: Bacterial small subunit ribosomal RNA
Source: RNAcentral